This 504-nucleotide ribosomal RNA is filed under the name uncultured bacterium. RNAcentral describes it as "partial 16S ribosomal RNA". It matches the Rfam family "Bacterial small subunit ribosomal RNA", at positions 30 to 523 of the family's 1533-position model. The record is from RNAcentral.
AUUGAACGCUGGCGGCAGGCCUAACACAUGCAAGUCGAACGGUAGCACAGAGAGCUUGCUCUCGGGUGACGAGUGGCGGACGGGUGAGUAACGUCUGGGAAACUGCCCGAUGGAGGGGGAUAACUACUGGAAACGGUAGCUAAUACCGCAUAACGUCGCAAGACCAAAGUGGGGGACCUUCGGGCCUCCAACCAUCGGAUGUGCCCAGAUGGGAUUAGCUAGUAGGUGGGGUAAUGGCUCACCUAGGCGACGAUCCCUAGCUGGUCUGAGAGGAUGACCAGCCACACUGGAACUGAGACACGGUCCAGACUCCUACGGGAGGCAGCAGUGGGGAAUAUUGCACAAUGGGCGCAAGCCUGAUGCAGCCAUGCCGCGUGUAUGAAGAAGGCCUUCGGGUUGUAAAGUACUUUCGGCGGGGAGGAAGGCGGUGAAGUUAAUAACUUCACCGAUUGACGUUACCCGCAGAAGAAGCACCGGCUAACUCCGUGCCAGCCGCCGCCGUAA